This 481-nucleotide ribosomal RNA is filed under the name uncultured bacterium. RNAcentral's name for it is "partial 16S ribosomal RNA". It matches the Rfam family "Bacterial small subunit ribosomal RNA", at positions 28 to 507 of the family's 1533-position model. The record is from RNAcentral.
GAUGAACGCUGGCGGCGUGCUUAACACAUGCAAGUCGAACGAAGCACUUUAUUUGAUUUCCUUCGGGACUGAUCAUUUUGUGACUGAGUGGCGGACGGGUGAGUAACGCGUGGGUAACCUGCCUUGUACAGGGGGAUAACAGUUGGAAACGGCUGCUAAUACCGCACAAGCGCACAGAAUCGCAUGAUGCAGUGUGAAAAACUCCGGUGGUAUAAGAGGGACCCGCGUUGGAUUAGCUAGUAGGUGCGGUAACGGCCCACCAAGGCGACGAUCCAUAGCCGACCUGAGAGGCUGACCGGCCACACUUGCACUGGGACACAGCCCGGACUCCUACGGGAUGCAGCAAUGGGGAAUGUUGCACAAUGGGCGGAAGCCUGAUGCAGCGACGCCGCGUGAGCGCAGAAGUUUUUCAGUAAGUAAAGCUCUAUUAGCAGGGAAGAUAAUGACGGUACCUAACUAGGAAGCCCCGGCUAACUACGUG